This 253-nucleotide ribosomal RNA is filed under the name uncultured bacterium. RNAcentral describes it as "partial 16S ribosomal RNA". It matches the Rfam family "Bacterial small subunit ribosomal RNA", at positions 524 to 776 of the family's 1533-position model. The record is from RNAcentral.
UACGUAGGGUGCAAGCGUUGUCCGGAAUUAUUGGGCGUAAAGAGCUCGUAGGCGGUCUGUCGCGUCGGCUGUGAAAACUCGGGGCUUAACCCCGGGUCUGCAUUCGAUACGGGCAGGCUAGAGUGUGGUAGGGGAGAUCGGAAUUCCUGGUGUAGCGGUGAAAUGCGCAGAUAUCGGGAGGAACACCAGUGGCGAAGGCGGUUGCCUGGAGCUUUGCUGACGCUGAGGCGCGAAAGCGUGGGGAGCGAUCCGG